Molecule: ribosomal RNA, 251 nt
Filed under: uncultured Selenomonas sp.
Lineage: Bacteria; Bacillati; Bacillota; Negativicutes; Selenomonadales; Selenomonadaceae
Description: partial 16S ribosomal RNA
Rfam family: Bacterial small subunit ribosomal RNA
Source: RNAcentral
ACGGGUGAGUAACACGUAGGCAACCUGCCGACAGGAUGGGGACAACAUUCCGAAAGGAAUGCUAAUACCGAAUGAAGUCAGAGAAGGGCAUCCUUUUCUGAUGAAAGAUGGCCUCUUUUUAUGCUAUCACCUGUUGAUGGGCCUGCGUCUGAUUAGCUAGUUGGUGAGGUAACGGCUCACCUAGGCGACGAUCAGUAGCCGGUCUGAGAGGAUGAACGGCCACAUUGGGACUGAGACACGGCCCAGACUCC